CACCACACUGAGCUCUGUAUGUGAGUGAAACAUGGGCUUGGGUUCUUUUAAAGCCAUAUUCAAUUUCUUUUUUAAUAGGCAAGGUUGGCAUAAAGCUGUUUUUGUUUUUCUUUAUUCUUGUUUCACACUUUGAAGAUCUGCUCAUAUCAGCCUCUUUUGAUUAUUUUCAUUAUUUAUUUAUUUCUUUUUCGAUUUUGAAGAGCAGGACUUUGUAGGAAAAAUAAGUAACUUAAUGCUCAUCAAAAGUUCACUGACACUUUUGUUAUCUUUUCAAAUUAAAGGUCUGAAUAUCUGAAGCUGUUUUAACCCAGAAUAUCACAAUGCUCCAUAUUUGAUUAUGCUACCUGUUGGCAGGUUCCUAAAUCCUGCCCCACACCCGCCAAGUCUGAGUCGAAUGCUGUCAUCACUGAUUCUCAGGGAGGAAGGAAACAACAUGCCUACAAGGCAGAGAUCAUUGGUGGUGUGGUGGUGCACACUCCAAUCCAGAAUGAACCUGAAGACACAGAGGGAAGAGAGAAGAAGGGCAACAGGCCUGGUGUGCUGAGAUGUGGUUUCUGUGUCAAGCAAGGAAAUGUGAGGAAGAGCUGGAAGAGGCGUUUUUUCACCCUAGAUGACAGCACAGUCAGCUACUAUAAGACUGACACGGACAAGGAGCCUCUUCGAGGUAUUCCGCUCAGAGACAUUCAGAAGGUCCAUGAAUGUCUUGUCAAGUCUGGG
Cyprinodon variegatus (sheepshead minnow) is the source of this 717-nucleotide long non-coding RNA. RefSeq lists it as uncharacterized. Lineage: Eukaryota; Metazoa; Chordata; Actinopteri; Cyprinodontiformes; Cyprinodontidae. The record is from RefSeq and is a predicted model, not a curated record. The transcript is spliced from 4 exons.